This 417-nucleotide ribosomal RNA is filed under the name uncultured archaeon. RNAcentral describes it as "partial 16S ribosomal RNA". It matches the Rfam family "Archaeal small subunit ribosomal RNA", at positions 330 to 747 of the family's 1478-position model. The record is from RNAcentral.
GUGCAGCAGGCGCGAAACCUUUGCAAUGCGCGAAAGCGCGACAGGGGAACUCCGAGUGCCAGCACUUCGGUGUUGGCUGUUGCGGAUCCUAAAAAGAUCCGCGAGGAAGGGCCGGGUAAGACGGGUGCCAGCCGCCGCGGUAAUACCCGCGGCCCGAGUGGUGGCCGCUAUUAUUGGGCCUAAAGGGUCCGUAGCCGGCCCGGCGCGUCCCGGGGGAAAUCCGGCCGCUCAACGGUCGGGCUUCUCCGGGAUACGGCCGGGCUUGGGACCGGGUGGGGGCAGGGGUACUCCGGGGGUAGCGGUGAAAUGCUGUGAUCCCCGGGGGACCACCCGCAGGGAAGCCGCCUGCCCAGAACGGGUCCGACGGUGAGGGACGAAAGCCAGGGGAGCAAACGGGAUUAGAUACCCCUGGAGUCC